GGCUCUCUGUUUACAUAAAUAUAGGGAGUCGAGCCUGCCCAGUGAAUUUUUAAACGGCCGCGGUACUCUGACCGUGCAAAGGUAGCAUAAUCAUUUGCCUUAUAAUUGAAGGCUAGUAUGAAUGGUUUGACGAGAGCAACACUGUCUCCUUUUUAUUUUCAAGAACUUAACUUUUAGGUGAAGAGGCCUAAAUUUUAUUGAAGGACAAGAAGACCCUAUCGAGCUUAAAAGACAUUAUAGAAGUUUAUAUAUCUCUAAAUAAAUUUUCUAUUGAGCUUUUUAGUUGGGGCGACUAAGGAACAAAAAAAGCUUCUUGCUAAUAAUAGACAGUCAUGCUUAGAUCCGAUAAUAAUCGAUCAAAGAAAUUAGUUACCGUAGGGAUAACAGCAUAAUCUCUCUUGAGAGACCUAAUCGAAAGAGGGGGUUGUGACCUCGAUGUUGGACUAGAAUAUCCUAAAGAUGCAGAAGUCUUUGAAGGUCGGUCUGUUCGACCGUUAAAAUUCU
Molecule: ribosomal RNA, 504 nt
Filed under: Juga plicifera
Lineage: Eukaryota; Metazoa; Mollusca; Gastropoda; Semisulcospiridae
Description: partial large subunit ribosomal RNA
Rfam family: Bacterial large subunit ribosomal RNA
Source: RNAcentral